Molecule: ribosomal RNA, 227 nt
Filed under: uncultured bacterium
Lineage: Bacteria
Description: partial 16S ribosomal RNA
Rfam family: Bacterial small subunit ribosomal RNA
Source: RNAcentral
UGAGUAACACGUAUCCAACCUGCCGUCUACUCUUGGACAGCCUUCUGAAAGGAAGAUUAAUACAAGAUGGCAUCAUGAGUCCGCAUGUUCACAUGAUUAAAGGUAUUCCGGUAGACGAUGGGGAUGCGUUCCAUUAGAUAGUAGGCGGGGUAACGGCCCACCUAGUCUUCGAUGGAUAGGGGUUCUGAGAGGAAGGUCCCCCACAUUGGAACUGAGACACGGUCCAG